GACGUAGGCGGCCAGGUAAGUGAGACGUGAAAUCCUUUGGCUCAACCGAAGACCUGCGUUUCAAACUGCCUGGCUUGAGUCCGGGAGGGGAGACGGGAAUUCCUGGUGUAGCGGUGAAAUGCGCAGAUAUCAGGAAGAACACCGGUGGCGAAGGCGCGUCUCUGGACCGGUACUGACGCUAAGGUCCGAAAGCGUGGGUAGCAAACA
This 207-nucleotide ribosomal RNA is filed under the name uncultured bacterium. Its description in RNAcentral is "partial 16S ribosomal RNA". It matches the Rfam family "Bacterial small subunit ribosomal RNA", at positions 568 to 774 of the family's 1533-position model. The record is from RNAcentral.